This 67-nucleotide transfer RNA is filed under the name Larvivora namiyei. RNAcentral's name for it is "tRNA-Cys". The record is from RNAcentral. Lineage: Eukaryota; Metazoa; Chordata; Aves; Passeriformes; Muscicapidae.
GACUCUGUGGUGAAAUUCAUGGUGAGUUGCAAGCUCAUUGAUGUGCGUUGAUUACGCGCCGGAGUCU